ACAUAUACACACACACACACAUAUAUAUAUAUAUAUACACACAUGUAUUAGAUCCCAAAGGCGCGAGUCUGUGACCCAGUCAAAAGCAGAAACGUACAACAUCAUAUUUAAUGAUAAUCAUAUGGGCAUUAAUAAUAAUUAUGAUGAUAGCAAGUAUAAUCGUUUCUUAUUUAUAACGGUACUCUCUCUAGUAAUUAAUUAAUGUUUAAUUGCUAACUGGCGACAAUGGUGCAGGGCAGUGGCUUCGUGUUCACAUAAAAUGCAACUCAAAUUCGUGCGCCUUCAUACUGCAUGCGUGCACUGACCUAAACUCACACACACACAUUACACACACACACACACCAUACACACACGUGUGUAUUUAUGUGUGAUCGUAACAAGAGAGUCGACAAUUGUGA
This 398-nucleotide long non-coding RNA is filed under the name Octopus vulgaris (common octopus). The record is from RNAcentral. Lineage: Eukaryota; Metazoa; Mollusca; Cephalopoda; Octopoda; Octopodidae.